UCCUACGGGGCGCAGCAGUGGGGAAUAUUGCACAAUGGGGGAAACCCUGAUGCAGCGACGCCGCGUGAAGGAAGAAGUAUCUCGGUAUGUAAACUUCUAUCAGCAGGGAAGAAAAUGACGGUACCUGACUAAGAAGCCCCGGCUAACUACGUGCCAGCAGCCGCGGUAAUACGUAGGGGGCAAGCGUUAUCCGGAUUUACUGGGUGUAAAGGGAGCGCAGGCGGCGCGGUAAGUCUGAUGUGAAAGCCCGGGGCUCAACCCCGGGACUGCAUUGGAAACUGUCGUGAUGGAGUGUCG
This 297-nucleotide ribosomal RNA is filed under the name uncultured bacterium. RNAcentral's name for it is "partial 16S ribosomal RNA". It matches the Rfam family "Bacterial small subunit ribosomal RNA", at positions 337 to 651 of the family's 1533-position model. The record is from RNAcentral.